UUUUCCAAGUAUCAAAAACGGUAUCUAUGCAUAAGCCUUUCAUCCCCCAAGAACUUUUGAGAAUCAUUGUUCAAAACAGUGAUAGCUAUGAUGUCCAUAAUCAAGUUUUCCAAGGAACUGAAAAAUAUUUGACAAACUAUGCUCCACUCCGUGCUCGAGGGUCUCGGCCAAGAGGUAUCAUGAGAUCCUUCAUAACCUCAUACUCUUCUGCAUUUAUCUGGGCACCAUCAAGGAGCUGGUGAAGCAUCAUCCUCCUAUUAGUCAUGUAUGAAGUGAGUGCUGGAAUCCUACAUACAGAUAGAGCCUCAACCAAGAGAAAUGCUAUGACUUGCCAUUGUUUCAUUCUGAAUGCAGGAAUUGCAUCAUAAAAGGACAUUGUAUCCAACAAGCGCCCCACUCCUUGCUCCAGUGUAGAUAUUGGUAUCGGCAACCUAAGAUCAGCAACAAGUCCAGGUAAAGCCCGAGCAAGACAACCCUCAACAGUAAGCUUGAUUUCAGAAGAACGGCCAUCUCUCAAGACAACCUUUCGAGGGUACUCCCUUCCAUUAACAGAUAAAUAAUCUUCAUGGGAACUUUCAUCGUCUCUCCCAUAUACAUAAGCCAAAGAAGAUGAAGUUACCCAUGCAAAGAGUGCCAUCCACAUUGUCGCAAAAGGGGAUAACGACAAACUGAAUCCUUCUGGUGGAGCAUCAUACCAUGAAUCCUCAGGGUCAAACAAAUCUGAAUGUGGAAUCCCUGGCCUUGUUGGCCACUUAAGAGAAGCAGAUUCUUGUUCAAGCAUGCCAACACUCUCUAUAUCAUGUGGAUGUGGUAAUAUGAUGAC
RNAcentral lists this unclassified non-coding RNA (823 nucleotides) under Hevea brasiliensis (rubber tree). The record is from RNAcentral. Lineage: Eukaryota; Viridiplantae; Streptophyta; Magnoliopsida; Malpighiales; Euphorbiaceae.